UACGUAGGUCCCGAGCGUUGUCCGGAUUUAUUGGGCGUAAAGCGAGCGCAGGUGGUUUAUUAAGUCUGGUGUAAAAGGCAGUGGCUCAACCAUUGUAUGCAUUGGAAACUGGUAGACUUGAGUGCAGGAGAGGAGAGUGGAAUUCCAUGUAUAGCGGUGAAAUGCGUAGAUAUAUGGAGGAACACCGGUGGCGAAAGCGGCUCUCUGGCCUGUAACUGACACUGAGGCUCGAAAGUGUGGGGAGCAAACAGG
Molecule: ribosomal RNA, 252 nt
Filed under: uncultured bacterium
Lineage: Bacteria
Description: partial 16S ribosomal RNA
Rfam family: Bacterial small subunit ribosomal RNA
Source: RNAcentral